This 88-nucleotide unclassified non-coding RNA is filed under the name Escherichia fergusonii ATCC 35469. RNAcentral describes it as "C0614". The record is from RNAcentral. Lineage: Bacteria; Pseudomonadati; Pseudomonadota; Gammaproteobacteria; Enterobacterales; Enterobacteriaceae.
GGCCGUUGUCGAUAAUACGCUAACCGAAAAAUAAUUACUCGUUUUUUACUUGACACAAAAUUUCUUAACAACGAUUAUUAUUUUGCUG